CGGCGGACGGGUGAGUAACGCGUAGGAAUCUACCCGGUAGUGGGGGACAACUUGUGGAAACGCAAGCUAAUACCGCAUACGCCCUAUGGGGGAAAGCGGGGGAUCUUCGGACCUCGCGCUAUCGGAUGAGCCUGCGUAGGAUUAGCUAGUUGGUGGGGUAAAGGCUCACCAAGGCGACGAUCCUUAGCUGGUCUGAGAGGAUGAUCAGCCACACUGGAACUGAGACACGGUCCAG
This 235-nucleotide ribosomal RNA is filed under the name uncultured bacterium. RNAcentral's name for it is "partial 16S ribosomal RNA". It matches the Rfam family "Bacterial small subunit ribosomal RNA", at positions 96 to 334 of the family's 1533-position model. The record is from RNAcentral.